This 199-nucleotide unclassified non-coding RNA is filed under the name rhizosphere metagenome. RNAcentral's name for it is "partial ribosomal RNA internal transcribed spacer region". The record is from RNAcentral.
GAAUGAAUGUAGAGUCGGCUGUCGCUGGUCCCUUCGGGGGCAUGUGCACGCCUUCUCUUUCAUCCACACACACCUGUGCACUUGUGAGACGGACGCCCGAGGGCUUCCGUCUGCUCUACAUAAACUCAUAUCUAUAAUUUGAAUGUAAUUGAUGUAAUACAUCUUUAAACUAAGUUUCAACAACGGAUCUCUUGGCUCU